This is a long non-coding RNA of Osmerus eperlanus (European smelt), 1102 nucleotides long. RefSeq lists it as uncharacterized. The record is from RefSeq and is a predicted model, not a curated record. The transcript is spliced from 3 exons. NCBI's taxonomy places the organism in Eukaryota, Metazoa, Chordata, Actinopteri, Osmeriformes, Osmeridae.
GUGGGUUAGUCAGGGUAGUGUCGGUGUGGCUGACGAUAAUUAGACCACAUUUACUAAUCAUCCCCACAUUGUUGAAACUUGUAGCGGCUUCGUUCUUUGUUUUUCUAAAACCUUGUGAGUGGUGAUUCAUAUGGUAACAGCACUGUUUAUAUUCGAUGUUCUGCUAACGUUUAUUUUUUUUACAAAUCUGGAGAUUGUAUGUGAACAUUACGGUUACAUCAAUAGACGUCAGAUACUUUGCAGAGAAAAUAAGACAUGCUAUUUAAGCAGCCGUCUGCAGGGCUGUGGCUGAGCCCUACUGCAGGAGCACAUGAGCCACUGUAUGACAUUUGAACAAAGAACACAGUUGUCUGGGGAGUUCUUCCAAUGCGACGGCUGAACUGACAGCGGCCAAAUCCACCGCCUACGCAGGGUGGGGUCUCACUGGGAUGACUCAUACACACACACACACGCAUGCACGCCCACAAAUACACACACACACAAACUCAAACAUGCAUGUAUUUCUACACACACACACACACACACGCACGAAAGCACACAAAUACACACACACAUACACACACUCACAUAUGCAUGCAUUUACACACACACACAUGGUCACACACACUCACUACACACACACACAUGCAUGAUUUCCUCUUUGGCGUUCCUUAGCAGUGAAAGACACAGGUGAAAGUCGUCCCAGCAGGGCUGCCUGUCUGGCAGUCUCAUGUCAUUGAUAGGGAGUGUGCAGGUUCCUCUGUUUUCACUGGCUGUCUGGGUAACCAGCCAGCCCAAAUAAUAGGUUUAUAGUGUGUUUCUAGACCCCUCCUUUGUCAUACAGUCUUUACACAGCUUCUCAACAGGCUUGGUUGCAGUUAUGGUUCGGUAUCCGGUUAGUUACAGAUUUCCAAGUGUAAAUUUGUCUGUAGAAUAAAUAAAAAGAUUGAAGCAUUGUAAGACUUUCCUGAAACAUCUUCAUAGAAGAAAACUUUACUGGAAGCUCUGAGCUAGUUCACACUGUGUAUUCUGUCAAUUAUUUGUUAUCAUGUUGUUUAAUAUGCAUCACUUGUCAAGCAUGGAUACUGUCAAUGAGGAAAGAAAGAAACAGGAGUUUAAAUAU